Molecule: long non-coding RNA, 485 nt
Organism: Serinus canaria (Common canary)
Lineage: Eukaryota; Metazoa; Chordata; Aves; Passeriformes; Fringillidae
Exons: 3
Source: RefSeq, a predicted model, not a curated record
ACUUUUCUCUCUAUACUGGUGGUAAAAAGUGCCUGGGGAGGUGGUUUGCACUUGAUACCCACUUUUUCAGUGGUUAAAACUACAGGGGAGAAAUCCUGUCCUUGCUGUUCACACUCUGGCUGAGGAGGAAAGCUCAGCAUCACAGCUCUGAUGUUUUCAAGCUGGAGCAUGUUGGGAGAAGAAAAAGGUGCCAGGUCCUUCAUCAGUUCUUCAAAGAGGAGCCAGAUAUUUUUAGGUGACAGGAAAUAGAACAGUUUUGUGGAAUGAAUCAGCUGAAGGAACACUGGUUAUUUCCAUGAUCAGGGCUUUGAAUCCAUUUGUAAUGCUGCAUCCAGGACAGGUAACAUCACCUGCAAAACUCCCAUCUGGGACUGAGGCAACCUGGUAUGGAAAUCAAAAACACCUGUGCUGGAUGGAGCUUGGUCUGUGCCUGGAACAUUUUGGAAAGCAGAUGUAGGAAGUGACCACAGCAGACUGUGUGAGCA